RNA transcript from Colossoma macropomum (tambaqui), 1413 nucleotides. It is a transcript of the gene named ring finger protein 165a, with no coding region annotated. The record is from RefSeq and is a predicted model, not a curated record. Lineage: Eukaryota; Metazoa; Chordata; Actinopteri; Characiformes; Serrasalmidae. The transcript has 3 exons.
GGUUAACCUAACGGUUCCGCGGAGGCGACGCGUCCAUGGGCAGUACCGCCGACAAAGGAGCCAGGAUGGUGUUAGUUCAUGUCGGAUAUCUGGUUCUCCCCGUGUUCGGUUCAGUAAGAAGCAGAGUCUGGAGGCUGCCUCUACAUCCCGCAUUUCUCAGACCUCUCUCCCCCCUUCCAUUGUGCUAAAGCCUCUCUGCCUGUCCCUCUACCUCAUCCCCUCUUUCCAUCCGAAGACGACAUUGGCAUUAAAAAAAAAACAAACAAACAAAAACCCCCCUCUCAGAAUAACGUUCCCACUCAUCCAUGUGUUCUCUGCUGAUUUCCAUGUGUCCUCCCUUCAAGCCCCACCCCUUUCCACUGUUUGGCCUCUUUGGCCCCUCCCCUCAGGCUCAUUUCUCAGCUCCUCCCACUUGCCAAGCUGAAUCAUGGGAACUUUCACCCUCGUGCCUCUGGGAAACAUAGCCGCUAGAACGCAGAGGCGAGCUGUCACUUUCGCUCAGUCCAAGCACAUCUCCAUCUGCACCUGUCUCGUUCUCUCUUUCCUUUCUUUCUUUCUCCCUUUCCUUCCUUUCUUCCUCUAUCUACAAGCACAUGAUUCUUCGUUUUCUUAAACGGACCCAAAGCUUAAACCUGGCGGAUGCUGUAUUUACAGCUUUGGGAUGAUGUUCACCGUAGGGUCAGGUGUGGUGUGGGAUCCGAUCUAAAUAUUUGUUCUCAUUGUUAAGUAAGAAAAUGUUCACCUGGCCAUGUUCAGAAGGAAAACACUGCACAUAAACAUAUACCACUGACAGAACAGGCCCUAGAGCAGAGCUUUAAGUGGGCCCAGUCCUGAACACAGCCCAAGAAUUUUAUGUCCGAGGCCAACCCGGCCCAAAACGCAACCCAAAAUUGGUCUAAACGCAUCACAUUUUGAGUCGAUCCUGUCAGAAGCUGACCCUACCUGAACCACAUCAAGUUUUGAGUCCAAAACUGAUCCAAAUCUGUCCAUCAUCGCCCAAAAUGCAGAAUAAAAUCUGGCUGGACAGCACUGGUUACCAUGUAGUGACAAUAUUAGCAACUAGAUCACAGAUAAAAAUAAUUUUUUUAAAUAAUACACUAUAAUAAAACAGCAGUUUAAGUACUGUCUUUAGUCUACCCUCUGGCUACAGAUGGUUCUUUAGGGGUUCUUCAAGAAAGACAGUGGUUCUGUAUAGAACCGUGAACACUCAGAACCGUUUGCAUGGUGAAAUGGUUCUCCAGAUUGAUGGUGAAUGUGCUGUAUAUGGUUCUGUAGAGAACUUUUUGAAAAGGAUACUAUAUAGCACCAAAAGAGCUUGACUUCACAACAAUAGCAGACCCCUUUUUGGUGCUAUGUACAUACAUUGUCCAUCAAUCUGAAGAACCUUUUCACCAUGCAAAGAACAGCUUAACC